CUGAAAGCAGAUUGAAAGUGUAUUUUUCUGGUGGUGUAUGAACUGUUUUAACUAUGUUUGUUGAAUACAACUUGGUAACCACUUUUGUUAUCCAUAUUGAGCCUUCAUUUUUUGUGGUUGGAGCAAGUGGAGUACAUAUAUUUUUAUAAAAUUAAUAAACACAUUUUCAGAUUAUCUGUUACAUGAUUAAAAAUUCAAAAUGUGGGAGGACAACUCUCUGGAUGUUUUCUCUCUUCUAAGAACAUCAUUUUUUCAUUUAGAUCUUUUGCCAAGCCAAAUCAAGUUAUUAAACACAUCUUGCCAAAAUGUUAAAACUUUUGAAUGCACAAAUAUAGAUACUGUUUGAAAAAAGAGUACAAACUAUAGAAGAACUGUUGUUUUUAAUACAUUUAAUGGCUCAAUUUAAUUUCUAAGCCAUGAAAGUUCUGAUCAUUUUAUUUUAUAUAAUCUGAUGCUGUUUUAUUUUUGCUGCUUUUGUGUGUCAUUUGUCUUCUUGUUUAUACUGUGUAGAGAUAGUUUUCAAACCUGUUUCUUCUCUCAUCGCCUUUGUUAGAUUUCUGUUCCACAUAGCCCAAUUAGAGGAAAAAAUUAAUUUUUUUCUCUGUGUUUUGAUUUUGUAUCUGAAUUUAUUUUUACCUGAAAAAUUCUAGGUCCCCCUCCCCAAUGGUUUUAUCUUUCAGUUUCAUAAACCAAAUUUCGUUUGAUGGUAAUUUGCAUUAUUAUCUUCUGUGUUUCUGAGAUGACAAAAUGUUCCCACUGAAUUGGCAGCAUUUUUCUUUUUUACUUUAUUGCUUGCUUGAGUAACUCUAAAAAUGUUUUGAUUAUAAUUUGUUUAAAUUGAGAGAUGUCCAUUCCUUUUCUAGGAUCAGUAAAAAUAAUAAAAGUUCACAUACUUUCCUAUGAACGUUA
Sphaerodactylus townsendi is the source of this 909-nucleotide long non-coding RNA. RefSeq lists it as uncharacterized. The record is from RefSeq and is a predicted model, not a curated record. The transcript has 3 exons. NCBI's taxonomy places the organism in Eukaryota, Metazoa, Chordata, Lepidosauria, Squamata, Sphaerodactylidae.